This 84-nucleotide transfer RNA is filed under the name Planctomycetota bacterium. RNAcentral describes it as "Planctomycetes bacterium tRNA-Leu". It matches the Rfam family "tRNA". From Rfam's summary of the family: Transfer RNA (tRNA) molecules are approximately 80 nucleotides in length. Their secondary structure includes four short double-helical elements and three loops (D, anti-codon, and T loops). RNAcentral also lists the same sequence under 2 other names. The record is from RNAcentral. Lineage: Bacteria; Pseudomonadati; Planctomycetota.
GCCGGAGUGGCGGAAUUGGCAGACGCGCUGGAUUCAAAAUCCAGUGCCCGCAAGGGCGUGUGGGUUCGAGUCCCACCUCCGGCA